Molecule: non-coding RNA, 27 nt
Filed under: Mus musculus (house mouse)
Lineage: Eukaryota; Metazoa; Chordata; Mammalia; Rodentia; Muridae
Source: RNAcentral
UAAGAUCUCAAAUGUCUGUCUUUCUUA